Molecule: ribosomal RNA, 163 nt
Filed under: uncultured bacterium
Lineage: Bacteria
Description: partial 16S rRNA
Rfam family: Bacterial small subunit ribosomal RNA
Source: RNAcentral
UAGGGAAUCUUCCACAAUGGGCGAAAGCCUGAUGGAGCAACGCCGCGUGUGUGAUGAAGGGUUCCGGCUCGUAAACACUGUUGUAAGGGAAGAAUGACAUUGAGAGUAACUGUUCAAUGUGUGACGGUAUCUUACCAGAAAGGAACGGCUAAAUACGUGCCAG